AGCACUGUGCUGAAGGUGGGCAUGGUUUACUGAAAUUUCACACAAUCGGGUGCCUGUGCACGCAGACCUCAAUCUGCCCUCACUCUCACCCCAGCUGCUGCUCGUAGUCUGUCUUGCGUCACCGUGUGCUGCCAGGAGUGUUUGUCUUAACCCCACCGGCUCCUGAGGACCAUGGAGCCACGCUCCUGUCAUCCCCCUCCUCGAAGAAGGCCGUGUCUGCAUUAGCAAUGCAGGUUCACUCUGUGCCUUCUGUGGCUAAGGACGUGAAGGAGCUGGCGGUAGAGGGGUCAGAGGGGGCAGCACGACCCGGAAGUGAUUCAGGAGCCUCGGUCACAACAGGCCUCCGGGUUAUAACUCUUAAAAAACACAUUUUCAGUAAUCCCAGGCACUGUGCUCCUGCGUUACCCUGCACGGGGGAGACACCUCUGUCAUGCACGGCCUCGUCUUCCUGCCCUGCUCACGCAGCGGCGGAAAGAUCAGAGGAAAACCUCUGGGCGCGCUACGCAGGGAGACGCAGCGCCCAGCCGCCCUGACCAGCGUCUGCCUGACCAGCGUCUGUCUGACCAGGCUGUCGGCCAUGUUGCUACGGUUUGUCUCCGCCUGAGUGCAUUGUGAAAUUAGCUGUGGUCCUGUGCCUGCCUCUGCCCAGAGAGAUGUGACCAGAAGAGACUUGUUCCAUUUCCACAAGGUGGCUGUAAGGCUUGAACAGGUGGACAGUCAAAAAGAAAAUGAGAGGGAUCUCAAAGAAGAAAUGCAUAAUGUAGCAAAAGGCAAUUGAAGAAGGAUAGCCAACAGAGGACCAUGCCACCAGGGAAGCAAAUCAAAUAGCUCACUCUGGAUUUUCAAUUCAUCACAGAUCUAUGUUCUCUCUGACCUACAGAGACAAGGUAGGUAUAUUUUUCUUCUACUCUAAACUGGAAAGCAGGCUCCAAGUUGGAGCAAAGUUCUGUGUGUAGCAGGGCUGUAUCCCAAGAUUGGCUGUAGAUAAACAGAUUGCUUUUAAGACUUACCUUUGGAGCUAGUCAUCUCCAACCGACCUGUAUUCAAUGACAUCUUUGACUACUUUUACAGGUUGAGCAAUUUACUUAGCAUUUUACAUUAUAGGUAUAAUUCCAGAACAAAUGCCAUACGAUUUUUGUGUGAGGGUUCCUUAAGAUAUGUAGUGCAGUAGAAACAGCAUCUUCUAGGGACGCAUUCUAUAUCAGUGCUGGUUAUUAUUAUUAGGAGUGAUUUGUUGUCAUUCUGACUAGUAGAAUCUUUUUGUUUUUUGAAUUUUUUAAAAAAUAAUUAUUUUAGAGAGUGAAACAGAAGAGGAGAGGGAGGAGAGAGAAAGACAGUUUAUUGGUUUACUUCCCCAAAUAUCCAUGGCACUUUGGGUGCUGAAGCUGAGAGGCAGGAAAUUAAUCCAUGUCUCCCACAUGGAUAGUACAGACCUAUCCAUCAUCUGAUGUCUUCCAGGGUAUGCAGUAGCAGGAAUUAGAAGCAGAGCUGGGACUUAAGACUUGGUAUUCCAAUGUGAGUCAUGGGCAUCCCAACUGGCAUCUUAAUCACUAGGCUACUAGACCAAAUAUCCACUCUUUUUUUUCUUUUUAAAAACGUUCUUAUUGAUGCAUUAUUAGCAUUCCAGAUAGUUCACCAUUUAAAGUGAAAAUUUGAUGUUAUUUAGCAUGUUCAAAAAUAAGUGCAGCCAUUACCAAAGUCAAUUAAAGAAUAUUUUCAUCAUCUCAAAAAGAAACCCUGUACCCUUUAACUAUUUAACAAAUAAUCUUUCUACUCCUAUAGAUUCACUUAUUAUGGAAAUUUCAAAUGAAUGGAAUCACAGAAUAUGGCUUUUGAGACUGAGUUCUUUCAUUUAGCAUGUUCUAAAGAUGCAUACCUGCUUCAGAAAUUCAUUACUUUUACAGCUGAUUAAUAUUCUGUUGUAAGCAUAUAUCACAUUUUGUUAUCCAUUCAUCAACUGAUGGAUACUUGGGUUGUUUUAGCCUUUUGAGUAUUAUUAAAAAUAUUGCUAUAAACAGUUUUUGCGUAUAUACAUUUUCAUAUCACUAGUUGAGGAGUGAAACAGCUGAGUCAUAUUUUAACUCUGUGAGGAACUGCUAGACUAUUUUCCAAAGUAUGUUAAUCAUUUCUGAGUCCCAACAAUGUUCAAGAGUCCUGAUUUUUCUACAUUGAUUAAAUCUUCUGUUUGUUUACGAGUGAAAUGGUACUUAGUAUCACUUGACUUCAAGGAAGUGCAAAUUGAAAUGCAAUACCUAUUAAAAAAAGACAAAAAGUAACAAGUGCUGGCAAGGUUGUGAAGAAAAGGGAAUUGUAAUAUAUUAUUGGUGGGAAUGUAUAGUAGAACAGCCUUCAUGGGAAUAAUAUGGAGGUUCUUCAAAUAAUUAAAAUAGAACUACUGUAUGAUCCCACAAUACCACUGCUGUGUAUACACCCAAAAGCAACAAAAUCUGUCUGUCAAAGAGAUACCUAUACACCCAUGAUUGUUGCAACACUACUCAUGUCCAUCAACAGAUGAAUGGAUAAAGAAAAUGUGGUAUAUAUGCAUAACAGAAUUUUAUUCAGACAUAAAAAAAGAAUGACAUUCUGUCAUAUGCAGCAGUAUAAAUGGAUCUGGAGCUUAUUAGGUUGAAUGAAAUAAACUAGGCAUAAAGAGAAAAAUACUACACAUUAUCACUCAUACCUAGAAGCUAAAAAAGUUGAUCUCAUUGAAGAGGAGUUUAAUAGUGGUCACUAGAGGCUACGAAAGGGUCAAGGAAGAGGGAAUUAGAAAAUGAUUCGAUAAUAGAUAUCAAUAUGCACUUAGAUAGGAAUAAGUUCAGAUGUUCAUUACACAGUACAAUGGCUAUAUAUACCAUAUAUGUAAAAAAGCUAGAUCAAAGGAUUUUGGAUAUUUUUUCACAACAAAGAAAUGUUAAAUGUUUGAGGGUAUAGAAAAUUCUUACUCUGAUUUAAAUAUUAGAUACUGUAUAUAUGUAUUGAAGCAUCAUGUAGUACCACAUAAAUAUGUGUAAUUUUUAUGUGUCAAUUUAAAAAUAAAAAUCAUUCUACUUUAAAAAAGUGAAUUGAAUACAAUUUAAGUCUACCAAAACUUCACAAGGACUUAGAUUGGCAGAAGUUAGAGUUGGGUCUUAUAAGAUUUUAAGGCAUUCACAAAAAGAUAGUGAGCUAAAAUUAUAGAUCUUUGAUUUUGGAAAUUUUGACAUCUACAGUAUUUUUAUCAUAAAAUUUUAUACCAUGAACUUAUAAUUUGUUAUGCACGCUAUUAUACUUUUGAGAGUAAAAAUGAAUCUAUCGAUAAUCAUACUGAAAUAGCAAGAGUAAGCUGAACUAUUUUCCAUACCUCACUAUAGGCUCACUCAUUUGGAGUUAUUUUACUUGUUUCUUCCAGCAGAGGUGAUGGAUUUUUCUUGACCUCUGUUAUAAGCAGGAUACAUGAAUAUGCAUACAUGCUGGAUUAAGCUAAAUAUUGGGUCUCCCUCAGAAUGAGCCAAAAUAACUGAUGCGCACAGGAAAAAAAAUCCUAGCUUUUUCAGUGGUUUGUGUGGUUUUUACAAUUAAGCUGAAGUGUAUUGCAUCAUGGAAUUUACAUUUUCUUUAGUGGCUAUGCUUUUAAGCACUUAAGUUUACUGCAUUUCAUCUCUUACUACAUUUACCUCCCAACCCCAAGAAUGACUAUUACAGUGUUAGACACGUACAUGCAGUCCCCCAAAAAUGUAUACUCAAAAAUAAUUCACAUUUGAGUGCUUAGAUUUAUAAGAACAAUACAAAGGGAUCAUUCUUCAUAUUUAGGGAACAAGAUUUUUAAAAUAAACUCUUGUGUAUCUUCUCUUCUCCUGUCUCUCUUUGUUUCCCCUCUCAUACCCUUUACAUCAUAGUUCCUGAAAAACAAACAAAAAGCUUACCUCCACAUCCUUAUAGUAUGGUCUGUAGUAAAAAAUGUUAUUAACUGGAGUUCAAGUUUUGAUGGCCAACGUCCAUUUGACGUUAUGAAGCUGUGUUUUGGCAGAGUACCACUGAGAACUUGAACAGACAGAGAGACAGCUCUUCUUUCCCCCUGGGAGUGAAGUACUGAAUACCAUAUUUCUGCCCUAAUUCACUCUCUGGAGGAGCUACCUUUGCCAGCAGCAGGAGAAGACUUAUAGUCAUUAAAAACAACCGUGAGAAAAAGUCAGAGAGGGAGGAAAAUGAUGCUGUCCCCUUUGAAUACACAGGAGGGUUUCCACAAGAACACUUGCAUUAGGUGAAAGCUUGACCCUCAAGUAGUUGCCUAGGUCAACAGGACCUGAGGCCAUCCCUUGUGUAAGGUUCGGUCAGGUAAGUUAAAGCCGCCUUCAGGGCACUCUCAAUUUAGACACCAAUUUCCUCAAGACUAAGAAAAGAAAGCAGUGCUGCAUGAGUCCAACUUUAUCUGUUGCUUUUUUUCCUUUUUUCCUUUGUUCCUGUGAGAUUGGUGUAUUUAAGAGAGAGUAACUUCAAAUGACUGGGCACUUUAUACAAGGAUGUUGCCUCCUGGUCUGACCGUGGACUAACUCUUCAGCAAUUCCAAUGCAUUCUUUGGUUCCGGGAUGGCUACAUACAAUUUUUCAAAACACAUUUUUACUUACAACCCCGAUAAAUUCUAGGUUUUCUCCUUACCAUGAAUUUUAGAAAUAUUUUCUCUGUGCCACAUUAGGUCCAGGGGAAAGUGUUGUCUGUUAUUACAAUUUCAUUUUCCAAUUCUCAACUGGUUUCAUGUCCAGUUCUUUCCCUCCAUUUAACCCUGAAACUGCUCUGUGGUACUUUGGUUUGAUCGGACUCCUAGCUUGAAAAAUCCAGAAUAUGUUCUUUUUUUCUCCCAAGACACAAUGUAUGCUAUGUUCAUUAACUGUCACAGUAGGACAUUUUAGGAACUACUGUUAUAUAUAUAUAUAUAUAUAUAUAUAUAUAUAUAUAAUGUUCUCAAAAUGAAGAAAAAAGAAAAUAAAGUACUCUGUAGUUAUACUACCACUGUCAAGGUUAACCAGAAUUUUGCUUUGAAUACAAUUUGGUGAUCUUAAUAUAUUCACUGAAUCUCUUUGGUAUAUUUGAAUUUCAUGAUUUUAAGAAAAUUUAUACCUUUUGGGCUUAUAUGACACUGAUGUUUGUUGAUUAUCCUUAUAGUUCUGUGGUUAUUUUUCUUAGUCACAGAUGGUUUCUCUUUUCCAGUGCAUUUCAGCAUUUCACAAUUUUGUGCUUGGAGUACUGUGUUUCUCACAGUAACAUACUGUAGUAUUCAGGCAAAAAUUGAUUGUGGCAAAACUGAGGAUUAGAGUUGUCCACAAAAAUUUCCUAAGGUCUCACAUUGUAGAGGAACAUAUACAUUUCAGUAACUUUAAGUACUUUUUUUCUAGUAUUGAAACUAAUCACUAUUCAUGCCCAGAUGAAUAGUAGCUUUCUCUUAAGCCUAUGUUAUAUAAAGAUUAAAUAACUUUUAAAGAUUAUAAAGAUAUAUACCAGUGCAAAACAUUAAUAUAGGACAGGUAUAUGAAUAUUGAAAUCAAAGAAGGAUCUAUUUCCUCUGAAAUGGCAGUUGGAGUCACUGCUCUUAGGAAGUUGUGAUUUCUUCCUCUCUUGUAAAGCAUGUGAAGUUGAAUUUGUAAUAGUAAAGGAUGUGUGUGAUCAGUUGCUGUUACUCUACUAGGAGAUUUCUGUCCAAGCCAACAAUGUUGUGUACCACCAUUUCGUAGAUGCAUAUGGAAUACUAAUAUUUGUAUUAAUUUAAUUUUGCACUUUUGAUGGUAUCUGGUAGAUACUACAACCACAAGAACAUACAGAAAACAAUUGUGGUUAACUACCUCUUAUUAUGCAUAUUUACUAAAUUCAUUCAUUAAUUAUUUAAAUUGACUAUAUGGUUGGAUGUAAGGCAAAUAUUAGAGGUUGCAGGGCAAACUAAGUUUAAAAAAUUUCUGUUAUUGGAGGUUAUAAUUUUAUAUACAAUGGUAAAUGUAUUUAUGCUUUUUUAAAAAACAAAAUUUAUUAAGCAUUGACUAUAUAUUAAGUACUUUGCAGAACUCUGAAAAUAUAAAAAAAGGUCUGAUUUCGUAGGGCUUCAAAUUUAUGAUUAGUACAAGAAGGGAAAUGAAAAGACACAUAAAAUGAUUAUUACAAUGCUAUGGAUAUGUGCAAUAGAGCCACAUAAUGAGUCAUAUGGUAUUAGAAAAGAAACACAGUGUUGUUACAAUAAAUUAAUCUUUAUCAAGGAGGAGUAAGAAAAUCCUGACCUAAUAGAUCUUUUACUUAAAUGACUUAAUUGUUGAUUCCAUUAAUUUAUUAUGCCUGGAAUGGUCACUUCUGUAAAAAAACUAUUAUAUGAAGUUUUUUGUUUAAGGAUGACUUUAUGAUAAUCAGUAGCACGUUGACUGGGACUUGGAUACAGUCAUUAUUUUAGUUCCGGGAGAUAGUUACAUAAGUGAGCUACAAGAUCAUAAACCAAAAGAUGAAAACAUAAAUCAUGAGCUAUAACUUAUGAUUUCUCAGCUGAGCAUGUUGUAUGAUAGGGAAAUGGAGAAAACAAGACUGGGUGGCUAAAUUGAACACUAUGGAAUAGUUUCAAGCUAGAUAGAAUUUGUACUUUAUCAACUAUCUAUCCAUCCAGCUCAAUGACUUGUUACUCAUUUGCAUUGCAGUUACUGUGCUAUGUUCUGAAGACACAUUUUUAAAAAGAUAGAAGAACAAAACGUAGUUAAUACUCUCAUCAUGGAGGAGAAAACAUAAGCAAAAUAAGAAAUACAACAUAAUCUCAUAACUGACAUAACAUAAAGAAGAGAAUCUGGAAUCUGUCUCUAGGAGUCAAAAAGUCUGCACUAGUGUGAAUAGGUCUGUCCCAAAUUCAGGUGUUGCCAAUGUGAUGGUAUUAGGAAGUGAGGCCCUUAAGCGGUGAAUAGGCCAUGAGGGUUUCUUCCUCUAGGAUCAGAUUAGGAGCCCUUGUAAAGGGUUUGAUGAAAGGAGUCCUUCUGCAUUUUGAUAUAUGAGGACACAGUGUUCCUGCCCUACAGAGGACUCAGCAUUCAGAGCGCAUCAUUGAAGCAGAGAUCAGGCCCUCAUCAGUUGGUGAAUUUAUUGUGACCUUCCUAGUCUCCAGGAUGAGGAAAGAGGAGUAGUGAUUCUGGCUGAUGCAAAUAAACAAGAAUGUUUGAGUUUUUCCCUCUAGCUUGGUAGGCUCUUGAAGGGAUUCUUAUGGAGGAUCAUUAUGCUUUAACUUGUGUUUUAUAGAUUUGACUCUAGACAAUAUGUGAAAGAUAGCUUGCAGUGACAAAGCUAAGAUCAAGCCUGGCUGCAGAACCAGUUCAAAGGGUAUUGUACCAAAAUGUGGUAGCAGAAUUGGAGAUGUAAGAGAUAUAAGGAACAGGAAUUAAAGUCAAGAAGCAGUAAAAUGAAUGUAGCUUCUGUCUUUCUUAGGUUACUGAGUAAAUAGAGUCACCAUUAGGUCAUCUAACUGGUGAUUUUGCUAGAUUGGAUCAGGUACUCCUAAGCUGUAGAGUUAUAGAAAACUUCUUUUCAACAAGAAUGUUUGGUGUAAAUUGAUAGAUACUGGGGAUUUUCUUGGACAAAGGGACAAGAUCUAGAACAAUGUUUCCCAAAUGAAGCAUAAGAAACUACAGACAGUGGGGCAGAUGGCAUGAAGUUAGGACAAUGAAAUAAAUGGCCAGUGUUAGUUAUUAUAUCUUCUUUAUCUAUCAUAAGCUCAAGAUUAACCAGAAAAGCAAGAGUGAGAUGAGAUUCAGCCACAUAUUUUGAAAACUCAGUUUUUCCUAUAGAAAUAGACAAGCAAUCAGUCUUUAUGCAUUUUACAUAUAUGGAUUUUCCAAAGUAUUUGUUGAUAGUUAAAGUACACAAAUUUUUACUAUUCCAUUUUGUAAAAAAUGCUGACAAUUUGCAAAUGGAAAAUAAUGUUUCAAUGAGACUUUUCAUGCAAAUUCUAAAGAGGAGAGAUUCUAGAAAAUACCCUAAAUUACUUUAUUUCAUUGAGAAAUUUCAAAAAUAAGAAAAAUAUGUAACAUUAUACACAAAAGUAAUUCAUGCUAAUGUAUAUGAAGAAAAAAUUUUAUGAAUCAUUAUUGUCUCAUGCUAAAAAAGUUAAUGUGGGUAAAUGGUUUGACUUGCUAUGUAUUUAAAUUGCAAGAAGAAUGAAAGAUUGAUUUUUUUAUUUGAAAUGUGGACAUGUAUUUUUGGAGAGUGCAUACUUUCUUGAUUUUUUCCAGGUUUUAUUAAAACAUGAAGCAACAACCAUCAUCAGUCUAUUUAGAAGAAACUUGUUGCAAUGAACAUCUGUUGGUUUUGCUAGUGAGCAUUCAUACAACCUUGCUUAGCAAAAAUUUCCUUUGAAAAUGACUGUUCCUCCUACUCUAAGCAUUAAGAUUAAAAGAUAGAGUUCAUAUCCAGCUCUAGGAAUGCAUCCCAAUUGGAAUGAUGCAACCAGUGCUGAUGAAAAUGAACAGUUUAAG
Molecule: non-coding RNA, 8462 nt
Organism: Oryctolagus cuniculus (rabbit)
Lineage: Eukaryota; Metazoa; Chordata; Mammalia; Lagomorpha; Leporidae
Source: RefSeq, a predicted model, not a curated record